CACCUAACAGCUAGCUUACCUAUUAAACUACACCAAACACUAUUAUUACCCCCUAACAUCUUAACAAACAAUAAUUAAAACAUUCUACCCCCUAAGUAUGGGCGACAGAAAAGGACCUUAAAAGCUAUAGAAAAAGUACCGCAAGGGAACGCUGAAAGAAAAAUGAAACAAAUUAGUAAAGUAUAACAAAGCAGAGCUUAACCCUCGUACCUUUUGCAUCAUGCCUUAGUGAGUUAACUUAAGCAAAAAGUUUUUAGUUUAACCCCCCGAAACUGGGUGAGCUACUCCAAGACAGUCUUUUAUAGGACACACCCGUCUCUGUGGCAAAAGAGUGGGAAGAGCUUUGAGUAGGGGUGACAGACCUACCGAACCUGGUUAUAGCUGGUUGCCUAAAAAUUGAAUAAAAGUUCAGCCUUUAUUAUUCUUUAAUCAAAACUAAUUUAAUUUUAACUAGACAACAAGAAAUAAUAAAGAGUUAGUCAAAGGAGGAACAGCCCCUUUGAAACAAGAAACAACUUUUCCAGAAGGAUAAAAUAUUAUACAAGGGCCAUUCCUCAGUGGGCCUAAAAGCAGCCACCUCAAAAGAAAGCGUUAAAGCUCAAAAUCUCAAACCCCUUAAAUCCCGCCUAUAAGAUUUUAUUCCCCUUGAUUUAUUAGGCUAUUUUAUUAACAUAAAAGCAACCAUACUAACAUGAGUAAUAAGAGACCCGAAUCUCUCUAAGAGUAUCUGUAACUCGGAACGGACCCACCCCCGAAAAUUAACGGCCCUAGCUGAAGGGCUUAUACUACACAAAAUCAACUAGAAACCCCUAUAAACACUAAACCGUUAACCCCACACAGGCACUCCCCUGAAGAAAGACUAAAAGGAGCAUAAGGAACUCGGCAAACACGCACACAAGCCUCGCCUGUUUACCAAAAACAUCGCCUCUUGUAAUAACAUAAGAGGUCCUGCCUGCCCAGUGACACAAUGUUCAACGGCCGCGGUAUUUUGACCGCGUGAAGGUAGCGUAAUCAUUUGUCUUUUAAAUGAAGACCUGUAUGAAUGGCAUAACGAGGGCUUAGCUGUCUCAUCCUCCCAGUCAAUGAAAUUGAUCUCCCCGUGCAGAAGCGGGGAUAAACACAUAAGACGAAAAGACCCUGUGGAGCUUUAGAUUACAGAGCAGCCUUAAUAAAACUUUUUAAAGCCCCUGCUCAUUUAUCUUCGGUUGGGGCGACCACGGAGAAAACUUAUCCUCCACGCUGCACAAAACACCAUGUUUUUAUAGCCAAGACCGACAGCUCUAAGCACCAGAAUCUCUGACCCCAAAGAUCCGGACACACCGAUCAACGAACCAAGUUACCCCAGGGAUAACAGCGCAAUCCCCUUCUAGAGCCCCUAUCGACAAGGGGGUUUACGACCUCGAUGUUGGAUCAGGGCAUCCUAAUGGCGCAACCACUAUUAAGGGUUCGUUUGUUCAACGAUUAAAGCCCUACGUGAUCUGAGUUCAGACCGGAGCAAUCCAGGUCAGUUUCUAUCUAUGACCGUGCUUUCUUUCAGUACGAAAGGACCAAAGAAAAAAGGCCCAUCCCCAGAGAACGCCUUACCCUUACCUGAUGAAAACAACUAAAACAGAUAAAAGAGCACAACUUUACAGACGACUAAGAUAACGUCUUGUUAGGGUGGCAGAUCCCGGCUAACGCAAAAGACCUAAGCCCUUU
Molecule: ribosomal RNA, 1698 nt
Filed under: Kryptolebias marmoratus (mangrove rivulus)
Lineage: Eukaryota; Metazoa; Chordata; Actinopteri; Cyprinodontiformes; Rivulidae
Description: 16S ribosomal RNA
Rfam family: Bacterial large subunit ribosomal RNA
Source: RNAcentral